RNAcentral lists this long non-coding RNA (238 nucleotides) under Olea europaea (common olive). Its description in RNAcentral is "long non-coding RNA (OEUR_LNC003343)". The record is from RNAcentral. Lineage: Eukaryota; Viridiplantae; Streptophyta; Magnoliopsida; Lamiales; Oleaceae.
AGAAACACGUUCGGCUGUGAGAGGAAAAAGUUAGAAAAGUGGACUGCAAUAUUAUAUUUUAAUACAUAUGCACGAAGAAAGACGAAGGAGGGGACACGCACAGGAGAAAAGAGGAGGCUGCUACAUUAUACAUUAAUACAUCUCAUGCGUGGAAAUAGAGGACAGAACACGUAGAGGAGAAGAAGCAUAGCGGACAAGAUACGCAGGCAGAGCAAGAAAGAAACGUGUCAGAAUUAGG